UGACAGAAGAGAGUGAGCACCCAUGGCGUUUUUCUUGCAUGGAUGUUCCAUGCUCGAAGCUCUGCGUGCUCUCUCUCUCUCUGUCAUC
RNAcentral lists this microRNA precursor (88 nucleotides) under Carica papaya (papaya). Its description in RNAcentral is "miR156d stem-loop (cpa-MIR156d)". Its record names the gene cpa-MIR156d. It matches the Rfam family "mir-156 microRNA precursor family". Rfam says of the family: This family represents the plant microRNA (miRNA) precursor mir-156. Animal miRNAs are transcribed as ~70nt precursors and subsequently processed by the Dicer enzyme to give a ~22nt product. Lineage: Eukaryota; Viridiplantae; Streptophyta; Magnoliopsida; Brassicales; Caricaceae. The record is from miRBase by way of RNAcentral.